RNAcentral lists this ribosomal RNA (578 nucleotides) under uncultured Gemmatimonadota bacterium. Its description in RNAcentral is "bacterial SSU rRNA". It matches the Rfam family "Bacterial small subunit ribosomal RNA", at positions 1 to 554 of the family's 1533-position model. The record is from RNAcentral. Lineage: Bacteria; Pseudomonadati; Gemmatimonadota.
CUCCCAUAUGGUCGACCUGCAGGCGGCCGCGAAUUCACUAGUGAUAGAGUUUGAUCAUGGCUCAGGACGAACGCUGGCGGCGUGCUUAACACAUGCAAGUCAUGGGGGUCCGCAAGGACAACCGGCGAACGGGUGCGUAACACGUGAGCGACCUGCCUGAGUGCGGGGGAUAGCCGGCCCAACGGCCGGGUAAUACCGCAUACGCUUUUUCGAGGGCAUCCUUGGGAAAGGAAACCUCCGGGGCACUCAGAGGGGCUCGCGGCCUAUCAGCUAGUUGGCGGGGUAAUGGCCCACCAAGGCGACGACGGGUAGCUGGUCUGAGAGGAUGGCCAGCCACAUUGGGACUGAGAGACGGCCCAGACUCCUACGGGAGGCAGCAGUGGGGAAUCUUGCGCAAUGGCCGAAAGGCUGACGCAGCGACGCCGCGUGUGGUAGGAAGCUCUUCGGGGUGUAAACCACUGUUGCCCGGGACGAAACUCUCCUUUCGAGGAGAUUGACGGUACCGGGUGAGGAAGCCCCGGCUAACUCUGUGCUAACAGCCGCGGUAACACGAAUCGAAUUCCCGCGGCCGCCAUGGC